This 540-nucleotide ribosomal RNA is filed under the name uncultured bacterium. RNAcentral describes it as "bacterial SSU rRNA". It matches the Rfam family "Bacterial small subunit ribosomal RNA", at positions 777 to 1313 of the family's 1533-position model. The record is from RNAcentral.
AAUAGAUACCCGGGUAGUCCACGCCGUAAACGGUGGGCGCUAGGUGUGGGGAACAUUCCACGUUCUCCGUGCCGCAGCUAACGCAUUAAGCGCCCCGCCUGGGGAGUACGGCCGCAAGGCUAAAACUCAAAGGAAUUGACGGGGGGCCCGCACAAGCGGCGGAGCAUGCGGCUUAAUUCGAUGCAACGCGAAGAACCUUACCUAGGCUUGACAGUUGGGGAAAUCUGGCAGAGAUGUCAGGUCCGCAAGGGCCCCAAAACAGGUGGUGCAUGGCUGUCGUCAGCUCGUGUCGUGAGAUGUUGGGUUAAGUCCCGCAACGAGCGCAACCCUCGUCGUAUGUUGCCAGCGGAUAAUGCCGGGGACUCGAUACGAGACUGCCGGGGUCAACGUCGGAGGAAGGUGGGGAUGACGUCAAGUCAUCAUGCCCCUUAUGUCUAGGGCUGCACGCAUGCUACAAUGGCCGGUACAAAGGGCUGCGAUACCGCAAGGUGGAGCGAAUCCCAAAAAGCCGGUCUCAGUUCGGAUUGGGGUCUGCAACCG